UGCCAGCCGCCGCGGUAAGACAGGAGGAGCAAGUGUUAUUCAGAAUUAUUGGGCGUAAAGGGCAUGCAGGUGGAUGAUUGGAGUUGAUUGUGCCAUUCCAAUGGGAUGCAUUGGGUUUGCAAUCAAUACUCUUCAUCUUGAGGUCAAAAGAGGAAAAUAGAAUUUCUAGUGGAGAGGUUAAAUUCUUAGAGAUUAGAAGGAAUAUCUAAAGCGAAGGCAAUUUUCUGGUUUGAACCUGACACUGAGGUGCGAAAGCGUGGGGAGCGAACAGGAUUAGAUA
This 280-nucleotide ribosomal RNA is filed under the name uncultured bacterium. RNAcentral's name for it is "partial 16S ribosomal RNA". It matches the Rfam family "Bacterial small subunit ribosomal RNA", at positions 506 to 784 of the family's 1533-position model. The record is from RNAcentral.